UGGGGAAUAUUGCACAAUGGGCGCAAGCCUGAUGCAGCCAUGCCGCGUGUGUGAAGAAGGCCUUCGGGUUGUAAAGCACUUUCAGCGAGGAGGAAGGUGGUGAGCUUAAUACGCUCAUCAAUUGACGUUACUCGCAGAAGAAGCACCGGCUAACUCCGUGCCAGCAGCCGCGGUAAUACGGAGGGUGCAAGCGUUAAUCGGAAUUACUGGGCGUAAAGCGCACGCAGGCGGUUUGUUAAGUCAGAUGUGAAAUCCCCGGGCUCAACCUGGGAACUGCAUUUGAAACUGGCAAGCUAGAGUCUCGUAGAGGGGGGUAGAAUUCCAGGUGUAGCGGUGAAAUGCGUAGAGAUCUGGAGGAAUACCGGUGGCGAAGGCGGCCCCCCUGGACGAAGACUGACGCUCAGGUGCGAAAGCGUGGGGCAGCAAACAGGAUUAGAUACCCUGGUAGUCCACGCUGUAAACGAUGUCGAUUUGGAGGUUGUGCCCUUGAGGCGUGG
Molecule: ribosomal RNA, 497 nt
Filed under: uncultured bacterium
Lineage: Bacteria
Description: partial 16S ribosomal RNA
Rfam family: Bacterial small subunit ribosomal RNA
Source: RNAcentral